CUUGUAUUUGCUUAUAAAAGUCUCAGUUACAUAUUCCUGAAACUUUCCAUGCCUUUCAGCUAAAUGAGUUGACACUAAGCAAAGAUACUAAAUAAUGUAGAAAAUGCUGAUUGUGCAUUUAUAAACCAGAAAGCACUAAUAACUUUACCCAGAUAAUUUGAUACCUAUAUAAUAAAUAAAAUAAAAUUAAUUUUAUUCUACUUUAUUUUGUAGAUUUUUCUGAAAAAAAAAAAAAAAGAAGAGAACUACGUUCAGCAAGCUUUCUGCAUAAGAUGGCAUUAAGGAUUGAAAUGAACUUUGGAAAAACAUUUAAAGUGGCUUGGCAAGAGAAGUUUUGUUGCUUUGCAAGAAGAUGCAUGUGAGAUAUGUAUUGCCAUCUGCAGAAGGGAUCAGAUUAAGGAAAGAAAGAAUCAGCUCCUCAGUAAUGCACUGCAAGACCUGUGUAUGUUGUCCUGUUACCGAGAAGCAGCAUAACUGUGGCAGUCGAGGACUGUUUAUGGUGCUUUAACAGAUUUUAAAAUGCUCCAGCAUCAGCAGUGCACAAAGGAUAUUUCAAAUACAUCGUGACUGAGUUCUGACACGUUGCUUAUAAAGCACAUGAGGAUGGAGGCUGUGAUCCAGGAACAUGUAGGCACAGUUUCCAGAAAGUCAAGUCCAGCCAUUGGAGCACUCAGAAGAGGGAACAGAAUGGGCACUUUGCAGUUGUCUCCUCUGCCCAAUAGCCGAAUGGACAAAUUCUUCUUUCUUCCUCUCCUGUUGUUGAUGAGGUUACCCGAUUACUCACCUGUGCCUGUAAGAACUUUCUGGACUACUCGAAGACAGAACAUAUAUGCCUAAAGUGCUUGCUGAAUAACCGACGACUAAGGAGAGAUCUUGCUAGAGGGAAGAGUCUGGAGGAAAGUAACAGAAAAACCAUCUUGAUUUUCCUGGGCUAGGUUUAAAGCUUAUAUUUUGGGCAGAGGAUGAUUACUUAUCAUGAUCUGGAGAGGGAUGUUUAGCUCAGAGACAGGACAUCAGCUAAUACAAGUAAUAUUCAAGAAAACUAUCUUGUAGGUGUUCACUUGAGCAGUAUUUAUGAAUGACUGUCUAUUUAAAUAAUUUCUGUUUUACUGCACAUUGUUACAGCUCCUGCAUUCUGAUAAUGAUGGUGUGCUAAUAUGAGCUAGCUGCUUGUAUAAGCUGCUUAUAAGUGCUCAUAUAAGCUGCUCAUAAGUGUUGUGGGGUGGGGAGACAUUAGUGGGGAACAUACUCUUCAUCGUGUAGAUGGUUUUUACUGUGUGUGACAAUUAACAGUGCUUUAGUCCAGAAGUUAAAAAGAAAAAAAAAAAGAAUCCCCCAGUCCUUUUAAAUUGUUAUUACAGCUUCAAGGGGCACAUGAGAAAGAAGGCUCCUCCUUUUGUGCAUAAAGAUUCUCAAAAUUGUUCUUGGGGUUCUGAACUCUCUGAGCUGCUAUGAAGUCUAAAAAAAGAAUGCUUUUGGUGCAGAGGAGAUAAACAAAAUUGGGGAGGAUAUUAAUAACCUGUGACUAAAUGCUAAGUGGGUUAUGAUUCUGACACAUUUAGAUAUGGUAGACAUUUAAGAUAUAAGCAUUGUCAGUCUAAUUAUUGCAAAAUAAUUACAACUGUUGAAGGUGAAGCUCAGGAAGUGUGAAGUGCAUUCAAGAAUUGGAGUUCCCUGGAGAUGUGAUUAGCUCACAAUCACCUUCCCUAGAGUUCUGCUAGGAGAUGUUUUGUGUAAGAAAAGAAAGGUCUGACAGAUAAACAGUGGUUUCGUCUGAGUUACAAAUUAUUACAGGCUGAUUGAUCUGAGUAGAAAACUGUCCAACAAAUCAAGAAUC
RNAcentral lists this long non-coding RNA (1837 nucleotides) under Anas platyrhynchos platyrhynchos (common mallard). Its description in RNAcentral is "lncRNA (ENSAPLG00000027719.1)". Lineage: Eukaryota; Metazoa; Chordata; Aves; Anseriformes; Anatidae. The record is from RNAcentral.